AUCGAACCCGGUACCUCAGCAUUGUGAGGUCGACCACUCGGCCGCCGGGCCGCCUCAUCUUUAUUCUAUAUUUUUAAAACACCCCCCCUGCGAGCUUUGGCACAACAUUGCGGGGAAUAGGUUUCACACUUGAAUUGAAGUUGAAGGUCUCCAAGUGCGCCAUUCACAGCAGUGAUCUGUGAUGGCCCGAGCCAACUUUACAUCAUCCACAAGCGGAGGUCCGCUUGCAGUUCCUUAUCGACGUAGUUUUUGCGGGCUUCAAUCCUCCACAAGGACUCCAGUGAGUCUGUUUCCACUUCUACAAUAUCAAAGUCGAUGUACAUGUCUCCUGUGCUGACUUUAAAGGCAAUGAGUGGAGCUGCUUCCUUUGGCCCGGGAAGCAAUCGACUGUGUUGAUUCGCACAACGGUGCUUUCUAACUGCGCCUGCCGACAAAAAUACCAAAAGAAAGAAAAAUCCAUCCAUGCGCGCAGUCGCAUUGGGCACAAAAAUAGGGCCCAAUAUUUUCUCAUUUAAACGUUGUAGGAUGACUGUUUACCACUUCAAAACAAGAGCUCCGUUGCGAAAGGAACUACGACAAUAUUGUUUAUUCUGUACGACUCUAAUGUUGGAUCACAUGGAGCAGUUGUUGCUUUCUUCAUCUGAAAGAGUUGAUGCUUUCUUUACUUGUUUACUUUGUUUACCCAUCGAAUGGCCACAAGCAUUUGUGGAGGAGUUUGGCAUUUGGCCUAAAUAGGAACAUAAUAAAAUCUGGCACAGAUUCGACAAAAGUCUCAUUCCACAAUCGUUAUUCACUCACAUUAAUGAAGCCAGGUGCAGGGGUUUUCCUUCCUUCACUCGGUGUAGAGAUCAACAAAGUCCAGACACAUGCAAGGUUGUAGCAUCUCCGACAGUACUGGUCCGAUAUUAGAUCAUUCUGCUUUGGUGGUGUCAUAGCAAAGAGAAAAUUCGCCAAUGACUAAAAAGUGUGAUCAGGGGUUGACUUUGCAAGUUGGUGUCUGUUUUAAGGAAUUUGACUCGCACCAAAGUGCCUGCAGAUAAAAACACCCCUCGUUCAAAAUGAUGGUGGCCGACCUUUUUUCAUAAUGUGGACGAUUUGAAUAUCAAUAUUUGUUCAACUCUGGUGUAUUGCUGGAGGGAGUGUUGGGAAUUCAGGGGAGGAGUGAGUGAGUCUGCUGCGAUCUGUUUAGAAUGCCUCUCAUGCUUGGUUUCAUGGAGCUGUUCUGACUGCCAUCCCCCCAGAGUGCCCUUAGCCUGGCUAUGAUGUUGUUUUCCUGGCUUUAAAGUUGAAUCCGGGCUUCACUUAUGCCCUUUGAAUCUCUGAAGGCAAUAAGCCACCCACCGCUUUGCCACGUGUCCGGAGAGCUGACAAGUGGUAAUUAUGCUUCAGACCAUUUCUCUUUAAGAGACGCGACUCUGUUGCUUUGCCCUGCUGUCCAGUGCGGGAACAGCAGGUGGUCAUGGCUCGGGGUCUGCUUCCAGCCAUGAAGGUGGGGGGGAAUUCCAUUUCUUCUUUUCCAUUUACCUUCACCGAGUAUCCUGAUUUUUCUUUUAUUUUUUUCCAGCAGUCUUAACUUCAUUAAAAUUGGGUUCAUACAAUCUUUACCAAAAUGGCUGCUGGCCUCCCAUUUGGUUGGUUAAGAAAAACACAGGAAGGCGAUAUUCUUGAGACCAUUCCUUCAAGAGAGAAGCAUCUACAAGAAGUGAAAACCGUGAUCGGCUCCAGCUCACCCAUGAACAGGAUCAAAAGUAGAUGGAAGGAUAAAUGAAUCGCAUUCCGAAGAAAAGGCCACGAUGGAAAGUAGCCAGAGAGAAUCUUUCUGUUUCCCAUGUACUUGCAAAGCAAGCCGCUGUGGGUAUGUUGCUAAUUUCAGUUGUAUGUUCGACAUGUCAGAGAACGCUUACUGAUUCCUUUGCUAUCAAAAGACGUGAAUUGUGAAAACACUUUGAAACUUCAUUAAACCUGUGGAUAAGGCGGCCAAAACUUCCUCUUGGACCUGAUGUUUCUGUGCUGCCCUGGAACCAAGUCAGUGCAGGUCAAUGGCCAGACAAAAGUAAUUACUGUGGGCCUGGUGAUGUGCCUCCACUCCAUCAUCCAGCUUCUUGUGAGAGGGGGGGGCCGCGGGAAAGCUUUGUUGCACAACCAGCUGAGGCCAACUUACCGAACAUCCCGAAGGAGCUGCGACACAAAAGCAUUGAGCCUCCCCCCACCCGCCUCCUUUUUUUUUUUUUUUUUUAAUCAGCACAUUGAAAGUCACUGUGGGCGGGCAACGGCGUCCGUGGCAUUAUACCGCUCUUCGAUAACAGCCACUUAUCUUCACCGUGCAACAAUCAUCAGCCAAAGGAGGUUUGAUAAGAGUUGAAAAUGUAGAGCGCAUGUGGCCUGCAUGGAAAAAUGGCCUAAUGAAAUAGAAUAGAAAAAGCAAAGAUAAGAUUGCUUAUUAAAAGUCCACAUGAAGGAGACCUUUGAAAUCUUAAGGUGCGUCUUUGUGCUCAAAACGUGUUGAACAAAAGUGUCGCACUGUAGCGUGCCACUAUUGUUUCUAUCAGUACUUGACUAUUCUGUCUUAGUGGUUGCUCUCCGUUUAAAAAGGGCUGUAUGUAAAAAAUGGAAG
Hippocampus comes (tiger tail seahorse) is the source of this 2614-nucleotide long non-coding RNA. RefSeq lists it as uncharacterized. Lineage: Eukaryota; Metazoa; Chordata; Actinopteri; Syngnathiformes; Syngnathidae. The transcript is spliced from 2 exons. The record is from RefSeq and is a predicted model, not a curated record.